RNAcentral lists this transfer RNA (68 nucleotides) under Ictidomys tridecemlineatus (thirteen-lined ground squirrel). Its description in RNAcentral is "Spermophilus tridecemlineatus (thirteen-lined ground squirrel) tRNA". It matches the Rfam family "tRNA". Rfam says of the family: Transfer RNA (tRNA) molecules are approximately 80 nucleotides in length. Their secondary structure includes four short double-helical elements and three loops (D, anti-codon, and T loops). Further hydrogen bonds mediate the characteristic L-shaped molecular structure. tRNAs have two regions of fundamental functional importance: the anti-codon, which is responsible for specific mRNA codon recognition, and the 3' end, to which the tRNAs corresponding amino acid is attached (by aminoacyl-tRNA synthetases). tRNAs cope with the degeneracy of the genetic code in two manners: having more than one tRNA (with a specific anti-codon) for a particular amino acid; and 'wobble' base-pairing, i.e. permitting non-standard base-pairing at the 3rd anti-codon position. The record is from Rfam by way of RNAcentral. Lineage: Eukaryota; Metazoa; Chordata; Mammalia; Rodentia; Sciuridae.
AGGGAUGUAGCUCAGAGAUAGAGAGCUUGCCUAGCAAGUAAGAGGCCCUGGGUUCAAUCCCAGCCCUG